Molecule: non-coding RNA, 533 nt
Organism: Oryza sativa Japonica Group (Japanese rice)
Lineage: Eukaryota; Viridiplantae; Streptophyta; Magnoliopsida; Poales; Poaceae
Source: RefSeq, a predicted model, not a curated record
UACAUAUCUCAUCUUCACCCAUCAAAGAAGCCGUCAUCUGAAAUCUCUUGGGCCUCGCCUCAUACUAUAUCACCACUCCAAAUCACAUUAAGGUUAUAAAUGAGUAUCACAAGAUAAAGAGAGAAAAUACCAAUCUCAAAGAAUGAAGUAUGGAACGAUUGAUAGAAAAACGACUCCACGAGUUAAUUCAAACACAUGGUGAUGAAUACUGCUGAGAAUGGAAGGCACCGGGACACAUUCUCAUAGUCUGAUACGGAAGGGAUGUGGGAGCUCACUGGCCAUCAGCUCAGAAUGGUUGUGUGAUUUACAAAGCGCAUUUCGACAACACGAAGAGCACUUCUUCCCCGCUAAUUAGGUCUGAUGAAAGGAUGCGGUGUCGCUCGCUGUAGUUCAGCAUCGCCUUUGCUGCAUCAUUUCGCCAACGCACCUAAUAAGCCACAGUAUUUGCACACGCUGGACUGCUCAGUGUUGGGAAGUUGGAAUAACGCUUUGACCACCUUGUUUAAGGUAAUUAAUAAAUAAUAAAUUAAUUA